AGCAAAAGAAGAAAAUAAAUAAAAACAAGAACCAUUCAUAUUUCAUCACUAACUUCACUUAACUUCUUCACUUUCUCUUCUCUAAAAAGGAAGGAUAAUAAGGAAAAUGAUGUCGUCGCUGUUGAACCCUUCCUUCUCCACUCUCCCAAAUCAUUCGAUUUCAAUCCCUAAUAAUAAAAACCGCUGCGCCUCCACGCUAGUGUCAUGCACCUCCUCUACAUUCGAUCCCUCCUCCUCCCACCUCAACACCACCACCAACCACCCCCCUCCUUCGCCUCCGCCGCCAAACAUCAAGGACGAGGCGCGCCACCACCGCGCCGGCGGCGCGCACAACUUUACGGCGAAGUAUGUUCCCUUCAACGCGGGCUUUGACUCGACGGAAUCGUACUCGCUCGAUGAAAUCGUGUACCGCAGCCGCUCCGGGGGUCUCCUGGACGUGGAGCACGACAUGGAGGCGCUGAAGAGAUUCGACGGCGCGUACUGGCGGACGCUAUUCGACUCGCGCGUGGGGAAGACGACGUGGCCGUACGGGUCCGGUGUGUGGAGCAAGAAGGAGUGGGUUCUGCCGGAAAUCGACCCCGAUGACAUCGUGAGCGCCUUCGAAGGCAACUCGAACCUCUUCUGGGCGGAAAGGUUUGGGAAAGAGUGCGCCGGAAUGAACGAUUUGUGGGUGAAGCACUGCGGAAUCAGCCACACCGGAAGCUUUAAGGAUCUCGGCAUGACGGUGCUCGUCAGCCAGGUCAACCGUCUACGGAAGAUGAACCGACCGGUGGUCGGCGUGGGCUGCGCCUCCACCGGCGACACCUCGGCCGCGCUCUCGGCGUACUGCGCGAUGGCGGGAAUCCCCUCCAUCGUGUUCCUCCCGGCGAACAAAAUCUCGACCGCGCAGCUAAUCCAGCCGGUUUCGAACGGUGCUCUGGUGCUGAGCAUCGACACCGAUUUCGACGGGUGCAUGAAGCUGAUUCGUGAGAUAACCGCGGAAUUGCCGAUUUAUUUAGCGAAUUCGUUGAACAGUUUGCGGCUGGAGGGGCAGAAAACUGCUGCGAUUGAGAUUCUACAGCAGUUCAACUGGGAGGUUCCGGAUUGGGUGAUUAUUCCCGGGGGCAAUCUGGGAAACAUUUAUGCGUUCUACAAGGGAUUCAAGAUGUGCAAGGAUUUGGGGCUUGUGGAGAAGAUUCCGAGGCUUGUAUGUGCUCAGGCUGCGAAUGCCAACCCUUUGUAUUUGUACUACAAGAAUGGGUGGAAUGACUACAAGGCUGUGAAGGCGAAAACUACUUUUGCUUCUGCGAUUCAGAUUGGUGACCCUGUUUCUAUAGACAGGGCGGUCCAUGCUCUGAGGAACUCGGAGGGGAUUGUGGAGGAGGCCACAGAGGAGGAGUUAAUGGAUGCCACGCAGCAGGCUGAUACUACUGGAAUGUUUACGUGUCCGCACACUGGGGUGGCUCUCAGGGCUCUCAUCAAGCUCAGGAAUAGUGGGGUUAUUGGACCCAGAGAGAGGGUUGUGGUGGUCAGCACUGCCCAUGGCUUGAAGUUUGCGCAGACUAAGAUUGAUUAUCACACUGGGGCAAUUCCUGGAAUGGGCCGUUUUGCCAACCCUCCCGUUUCUGUUAAGGCCGAUUUUGGCUCUGUCAUGGAUAAGCUCAAGGACUUCUUGCAUGAUAAAUCCCCCAAGUCUAACAUCUCUUGACCCACUGCCGCUGCCAAUCGCUGAGGGUAGAAGUUGGUAAAAAGAAAAGGAAAACCACGUAACUCUGAGAGCUACACUUGGAACUGCACUUGGAACUGCCAAUGAAGCUAGCUGCAUUUCGAUCUGCAGUUUACGGUGGUCACACUUGAAACCGUGCUUGCAUUUUUAGGGUUUCUUUAUUACUUUAUCUUCUUUUGCUAUAUUUAAUUAAAUUUGUUUAAAAUUUAUAAAUUGUAUUUGUUCAUAUUAUUUAUUAUUUAGUAUUUUUGAUA
RNA transcript from Vigna angularis (adzuki bean), 1959 nucleotides. It is a transcript of the gene named threonine synthase 1, chloroplastic-like, with no coding region annotated. The transcript is spliced from 3 exons. The record is from RefSeq and is a predicted model, not a curated record. Lineage: Eukaryota; Viridiplantae; Streptophyta; Magnoliopsida; Fabales; Fabaceae.